Non-coding RNA from Patiria miniata (bat star), 80 nucleotides. The record is from Rfam. NCBI's taxonomy places the organism in Eukaryota, Metazoa, Echinodermata, Asteroidea, Valvatida, Asterinidae.
GCUCUGUUCUAAGUACUAGUGCCGCAGUUGUUCCAUUGAUUUCAAGACAUCAACUGCUACUCUGGUGCUUAACACGGGGU